Long non-coding RNA from Monopterus albus (swamp eel), 493 nucleotides. RefSeq lists it as uncharacterized. The transcript has 3 exons. Lineage: Eukaryota; Metazoa; Chordata; Actinopteri; Synbranchiformes; Synbranchidae. The record is from RefSeq and is a predicted model, not a curated record.
UGUGUCCAGACGUUUGACUGGUACUGUAUAUAUCUGAUUACAUCAGAUUGACAGCAGACCUAGAGGCAUCCCAGAAUCAUAUUCUGAUGUAUGCCAGCAAGCCCUACACUUUCAUUCUCACAGUUUAUAAGGCAGGAGUUCUGCUUGCUGCUCUAAACUAAAAUUUACACUGGAACAGACCAACAACCAAAAGAGCUGAAGGCAAAGAAAUAUACAGAUUGUAAAGAGGAGAAUCACAAGUGGAGUGGGGGAUGCCUCGAAGGUGAAGCCUUCCAUCAGGUGACCCCAGAGGAUUCCGUUUGGCCUCCAUACCUGCAGUAGCCUCAUCACAAUUGCUGCAGACACAAGUCAGAAAAGGUUCUUGGACCUCCUCUCCCCACACUGACAAGUCGGGUCCGUCACCACAUGAUAUUCCGAGACCCCAUGAUUUACAAAUUAAGCACUGGACGGUACAGACCAGUGAGGGCCACCAGGAAUGUGUGUGGAACUUGUU